RNAcentral lists this ribosomal RNA (301 nucleotides) under uncultured bacterium. Its description in RNAcentral is "partial 16S ribosomal RNA". It matches the Rfam family "Bacterial small subunit ribosomal RNA", at positions 509 to 807 of the family's 1533-position model. The record is from RNAcentral.
CAGCCGCCACGGUAAUACAGAGGGUGCAAGCGUUAAUCGGAUUUACUGGGCGUAAAGGGCGCGUAGGUGGUUAUUUAAGUGAGAUGUGAAAGCCCCGGGCUUAACCUGGGAACUGCAUCUUAUACUGGGUAACUGGAGUGCAGUAGAGGGUAGUGGAAUUUCCGGUGUAGCGGUGAAAUGCGUAGAUAUCGGAAGGAACACCAGUGGCGAAGGCGGCUACCUGGACUGAGACUGACACUGAGGCGCGAGAGCGUGGGGAGCAAACAGGAUUAGAUACCCCAGUAGUCCCUGUCUCUUAUAC